Suricata suricatta (meerkat) is the source of this 1388-nucleotide long non-coding RNA. RefSeq lists it as uncharacterized. The record is from RefSeq and is a predicted model, not a curated record. The transcript has 4 exons. Lineage: Eukaryota; Metazoa; Chordata; Mammalia; Carnivora; Herpestidae.
CUCAACUCUAAGACUCGCUCCCUCUCGGACUAACGGAAACAGUUUUGGACUCUUCACAAUUGUGCAUUAAGCAGUUUGGCAACCACGACUGAAGUGUCCUGAGUAGUUCCUUAAAUAAAAACUGAAAAUGAACUGACAAAGGAAGGGAUAUCUUUUUCACAGAUAUAAUCAGAGAAAACCACCGAAGAGAGCAGAUUCUGCCAUCUUUAUCUGAACGAUCAUUUCCUCAAGUGAAGCUUGAACCCGAGAAGUUUGGAGCUAAUAUCUAACCAAGUCUCAGCCUAUCUGACAACCAGUUUUAACACCUGAGAGCAGCCAGUCAGUGGACUCGAACACUUCUCGUGACGGGGAGGCUAUUCCGACACAGCAGCUCUCCUUGAUUGUGGGGAGCACAUCACCACCAGCCAAGUCACACCUUCCUCCUGCUUCCAAACCUUGGCUGUGGCUCCAAACCUGAGGUACUUAAAGUCAUGUACAACCAAAGCUCUCUUUACUUGGAUGCACACCAUUGGGAACAAAUAUAAAGAGAAUUUAAUUAAAACGUGUAUGCAUACAUAUGUGUGCGUGUAUGUGUGCAUGUGCACGUGCACGCAUGCGUGUGUUGGGAGAACAAGAAACAGCAGAUGGGAAAACAGAAGCAUAAGGACUUGAAGCUUAACAAAGGUUAAUGGACUUGCCUGCUGUCAUUCAUUCCAUUAACAGGUGGCAAAGUGAAGAGCUAGACCUAAGUUUUCUGAAUCCAAAUCCGGAGUGAACUCCAAACCCCAAUGAAUUAAAAAUGCAGAGACUUCCUCUGUGAAAUCUUUUAUUCAGGAGGAACUUAAGUUGGAGAAACUGAGGGGUGGAUGGUUUAGAAACAACUGGAACAAUUCAGCAACUCCGGGCACUCGAUGCCUUUCACCGAAGGCAUUGAAGGAGUCCAGUGAAAGUGUGCAGAUGAAAAGUAGCAGGUUGUACGGACUGGUUAGCUAGAGGAUGGAGGGCGGGGAGGAAGCUAAAAGAUGUUCAGAUGAUUGUGAGGACAGACAUACCAUUAAAGAAACAGCAAUGACAGAAGGGCAGCAUCAGAUAAAGCACCUUAACUACUGUCAGAAUUAAAUGCCAGAUUAUUUACCAUCUAGGAGGAAUUCAGAAUAUAAUAAAAUAUCUCCAGUCUUUGUUUAUAUUAUUGCUUAAGGGGCUAAUUUUAGAGCUAGUCACAGGAAAAUGUUACUCACUAAUUAAAAUAUAAAACUGGUCCCAAAUAGGAAUAUACUAGGUUCCUACCUGAGCGAGGUAUGUGUGUGUGUGUGUGUGUGUGUGUGUGUGUGUGUGUGUACCUGCCUACUCUAAGUAACGGAUGGGAUAAAAAUAGAAAUGUAUACAAAUGCUUUCUGAAUUCUAACAAA